GCCAAAGUCUUAAGGAUUGAACUCCCUGGGGCUUUAUCUGUAGACAAAGACAUAUACAUAAUGAAGAGUAAAACAGGCCUUAAAGGGGUCAUAUGAUGCUGCUAAAAAGAACAUUAUUUUGUGUAUUUGGUGUAAUGCAAUGUGUUUAUGCGGUUUAAAAAACACAUUAUUUUCCAUAUAAUGUACAUUAUUGUUUUUCCUCUAUGCCCCGCUUUUCUGAAAUGUGUCGAUUUUUACAAAGCUCAUCAUUCUGAAAAAAAUGAGGUGUGCUCUGAUUGGCCAGCUAUCCAGUGCAUUGUGAUUGACAGAAUGCCUCAAGCGUGUGACGGAAAUUUUACGCCCCUCAACAUACUAUGCCGUCUCCAAGGCCAGCAGCACGAGACUUCGUCCAGCUGCUCUGCUCGUGCAAAUCCCAUCAUCGUACCAAAACUUCUCUCCAGCCAUCCGACAACAUGCCCUCUAGACCCAAUCCCCUCACACCUUAUCCAAGCAAUCUCUCCUACACUCUUACCAGCACUCACACACGUCAUCAACACAUCUCUCCUUACAGGCACCUUCCCCACUGCAUUCAAGCAGGCUCAGGUAACCCCACUGCUCAAAAAACCUACAUUAAACACUUCUCUUAUAGACAUCUACAGACCUAUCUCUCUCCUUCCAUUCAUAGCAAAAACCCAGGUAUCAACCAGGUAUCAUUGUUUCUUUUACAGACCAACAAACUGGACGCUAACCAGUCAGGUUAAAGGAGUGGCCAUUAAACUGAGACUGCGUUACUGUCAGUCACGGAAGCCAUGUGGAUUUCAAAAGCUGAUUCCAAAUAAUCAGUUCUUAUUCUGCUGGAUCUAUCUGCUGCUUUUGAUACUGUCAAUCAUCAGAUCAUCCUGUCUGCCCUCUCAUCACUGGGCAUCACAGGGAUUCCACUUAGCUGGUUUGAAUCACUAUUUGGUCUUUCAGGGUGGCCUGGGGAGGGGAGGUAUCCAAAGCACAUCAACUGGUCGCUGGGGUUCCUCAGAAAUCAGUUCUUAGACCUCUCCUCUUCUCCAUAUACACUACAUUACUGGGUCCCAUCAUACAGGCAUAUGGCUUCUCCUGAUGACACACAGCUCUAUCUCUCAUUUUAACCAGAUGAUCCAAUGGUAGCUGCACAGAUCUUAGGCUGCCUGACGGACAUCUCGGCAUGGAUGAAAGAACAUCACCUACAGCUCAAUCUGGCAAAGACUGAGCUUCUUGUCUUUCCUGCCACUUCAACUCCAC
Cyprinus carpio (common carp) is the source of this 1251-nucleotide long non-coding RNA. NCBI's taxonomy places the organism in Eukaryota, Metazoa, Chordata, Actinopteri, Cypriniformes, Cyprinidae. The record is from Ensembl.